CUCACCAUUCAGAUGAGAAAAUGGACAGUCAGAGAAGUGAAGUCACUUUGCCAAGGUUUAGGGCUCUGUACGGACUUAGAGCCUGUGCUAUUAAUUACCAAGCAGCACCGAUAGGGAAAAGUGGCAUCGAUUUUGGUUUAGGGAGACAUAUAACGGGAAGUGAUAGCUAGUGAUGCUUUGGUGAACUUUCAAUUAUGUGACUCUAGAGCUGGAAGGGACUGACAGGACCAUCGAGAACUUGCUCAAGGACAUGACCUUGAAUGAGUUGAAAAGUUGGAACAAGAAUGCUGGGCUUCUGAUUCUAGGAGGUCCCAAUAAUUCCUCACUUUCUGUAUAAUAAAAAUAAUAAUGAUGACAAAACUAUAAUGCUUUAAUUUUAAUUUUAUUUAUUUUUAGCAGGCAGAUAACAUUUUUAGAGCUUUUUUUAGUUCUCCAAAUGUUUCCACUUAUUUAAAUCUGCAACUUAACAAUGGGCUAUAAUUGGCCAAAGAGGCAAGGGCCUGGGCUCCUCCAGGUGAAGAGGAGUUUCACCUUGACGAACAGGAACUGUCUCAGCAGCCAUGUUUCUUACCACAGUGGGUUGUUUUUAGCCUGGAUCCCACUCAUUAAGAUUGACUAGAAGGAGCAGACUAUAACUCUCUUGGUCAGCACCCUGAGGCAGAGAACACAGCUUUCAGAAUCAGGACACAAAGGACUGGAGGUAAAGAGCAGAACUUCUGCAUGCAGGAAAUACAAAGGAGCCAUUUCCAAGGCUGAACAAUGGACCUGCUUCUGGAAAUGUGAAGUCAGGAAAGAGGAAGUCUCCAGGCACUGAAAUAACAAGAGACGUCUUGAAGGCAGAGUCCCUGUUGCCUUUAGUUGAGAGAUGGCAGCAGCCGCCUCCAGGAAUAGCACGUAUAACUGCAGAGACAUCCUUUUGGAUGGGAGCGGCGAAGACCCAUGGUUGACAGAAGAGUUGCGUAAUGGUUCGGUAUUUAACUCUCCCUGGAAUGGCUUCAAGAGGGAGCUAUGUGCGGAGUGAACUUGUGGAUAAAUAACUCUGGCACACAGCUCUGCACCAUCUGCAGACAUUGCAGAAAUGAGCAGGGGAAGCCAACGAACUGUGAGUGACAGAGAUUAAUCUUCAAAGUCACAAAGGCAUGUAGUUCUCUUUGGAAUUCAGGCAACACUGGAGAGCCUCACAGCCCCGGAACAUUUCUUUGAGGCAAUGAAGACAUUUAUCAGCCAUAACUCUCAGGUGACUGCGUGUCCUAGAAUCCUUGAUACCGCCAAAUCAAAUGAUUCCAGAAGAAAGACACUUCCUUUUAAACGUUGGAGAGGUAGGAAGAUGAUUAUGCUCAAUUCUUCACUUUAAAUGACUCACCAUGAUGCCUUAGAUGAAGCUGACCUACCACAUCCAGAGAGCAGGGAAGAAAUCAGAAGAGGUUGCCGUACCCCACAGGCUGCACUUCUUUCAGAUGGCAUACAGAGUCCCUGUUUGGGAAUUAUGCUUUUUGGAAUAUUUGCUUAUUGAUCAAUACACAUGUUUUUAUAAAACACAUAUUUAUUUACAAAAUAGUUCUGUUACAAAACAUUUUCAAAAAUAAAAUUCUGUCUAAA
Non-coding RNA from Sus scrofa (pig), 1599 nucleotides. NCBI's taxonomy places the organism in Eukaryota, Metazoa, Chordata, Mammalia, Artiodactyla, Suidae. The record is from RefSeq and is a predicted model, not a curated record.